ACCAUCAGGUGGCCGCAGAGAAUAGGCCCAAGCGACUGUUUACCAAAAACAUCGGUUUCUGCUAAGUCGCAAGACGCUGGAUCGGAGCCGACGCCUGCCCCGUGCUGGAGGGGUAAAGGGACCUGUUAGAGCAACCGAAGCAGUGCACUUAAGCCCCAGUAACCGGCGGCCGUAACUAUAACGGUCCUAAGGUAGCGCACUUCCUUGUCGGGUAAGUUGUGACCCGCACGAAAGGCGUAACGACUUGGGCACUGUCGCCACAACAGACUCGGUGAAAUUAUAAGUCCUGGUCAUAUGCCGGAAUACCGCAAAAGGGAGGAGAGACCCCCAUGUGCUUUGCCUGCGCUUAG
RNAcentral lists this ribosomal RNA (350 nucleotides) under Clostridioides difficile. RNAcentral describes it as "bacterial LSU rRNA". It matches the Rfam family "Bacterial large subunit ribosomal RNA", at positions 1765 to 2114 of the family's 2925-position model. The record is from RNAcentral. Lineage: Bacteria; Bacillati; Bacillota; Clostridia; Peptostreptococcales; Peptostreptococcaceae.